AAGAUCUGAAAAAAUGUCAGACAAAAAAAGUCUGAAAAAAAAGAUCUGAAAAAUGUCUGAAACAAAAGGUCUGAAAAAAUGUCUUAAAAAAAAGAUCUGGAAAAUGUCUGAAAAAAAGGUCGGACUUCCAGAGGUCGGAUUUCCAGAGGUCGGACUUCCAGAGGUUGGACGCCCAGAGAACAGGCCUGAGUGAGCGGAGUUUACCCGGAGACAGAGCUCCUCAGCUGGGUGAAAGCCCCCGUCUCUACCCCAGUCUGAGUCCGUGGAGGAUCACAGCUGACAGUCAGGCUGAACUCGACAGGAAACAGGAAGAGGAACUAAACUCUUCCGACUCCCAGCUGGAUUACAACACCAUCCAGUCUGGUUUCCAUGGCAACACUGAUGAUCACCUGCAGUGGCUCUGUGAGAUGAUCUCAGGUGUUCUGCAGUCGCUGCUUGUCUCACUUUGUCGCUCUACUUCAGAUUCAUGACUUCAGUCAAAGUGCUGCUGACUGAAGACCAGACGACAGACAGGUUACCUGUCUCAGACCAGGUGUUAUAAACAACUCUGUACU
Molecule: long non-coding RNA, 554 nt
Organism: Sebastes umbrosus (honeycomb rockfish)
Lineage: Eukaryota; Metazoa; Chordata; Actinopteri; Perciformes; Sebastidae
Exons: 3
Source: RefSeq, a predicted model, not a curated record